RNAcentral lists this ribosomal RNA (253 nucleotides) under uncultured bacterium. RNAcentral describes it as "partial 16S ribosomal RNA". It matches the Rfam family "Bacterial small subunit ribosomal RNA", at positions 524 to 776 of the family's 1533-position model. The record is from RNAcentral.
UACGGGGGGGGCAAGCGUUGUUCGGAAUUACUGGGCGUAAAGGGCUCGUAGGUGGCCAACUAAGUCAGACGUGAAAUCCCUCGGCUUAACCGGGGAACUGCGUCUGAUACUGGAUGGCUUGAGUUUGGGAGAGGGACGCGGAAUUCCAGGUGUAGCGGUGAAAUGCGCAGAUAUCAGGAGGAACACCAAUGGCGAAGGCAGCUCGCUGGGACGGUACUGACGCUGAGGCGCGAAAGCGUGGGGAGCGAACCGG